Unclassified non-coding RNA from Chelonoidis abingdonii (Abingdon island giant tortoise), 165 nucleotides. Lineage: Eukaryota; Metazoa; Chordata; Testudines; Testudinidae. The record is from Ensembl.
GUGCAUACAAGGAAUAAGUCUCUAUCUUUCCACGGAACAAGUAUAUCAUGGACAGUGCAUGCUUCUUCAUGUCGACUCACCAAUCUGACUCACCCCUAGCCUUGAGACCACCUCUGGGGUGAAAGGGUAGUUAAGUCUCCCAACCCCAUUCAGUCCUUAGUCUCC